Molecule: ribosomal RNA, 440 nt
Filed under: uncultured bacterium
Lineage: Bacteria
Description: partial 16S ribosomal RNA
Rfam family: Bacterial small subunit ribosomal RNA
Source: RNAcentral
CCUACGGGUGGCAGCAGUGGGGAAUAUUGGACAAUGGGCGCAAGCCUGAUGCAGCGACGCCGCGUGAGUGAAGAAGGCUUUCGGUAUGUAAAGCUCUAUCAGCAGGGAAGAAAAUGACGGCACUUGAUUAAGAAGCAACGGCUAACUACGUGCCAGCAGCCGCGGUACUACGUAGGGGGCAAGCGUUAUCCGGAUUUACUGGGUGUAAUGGGAGCGUAGACGGCUGCACAAGUCUGGAGUGAAAGGCCGGGGCUCAACCCCUGAACUGCUUUGGAAACUGUGCAGCUAGAGUGCAGGAGAGGUAAGUGGAAUUCCUAGUGUAGCGGUGAAAUGCGUAGAUAUUAGGAGGAACACCAGUGGCGAAGGCGGCUUACUGGACUGUAACUGACGUUGAGGCUCGAAAGCGUGGGGAGCAAACAGGAUUAGAUACCCGUGUAGUC